Molecule: ribosomal RNA, 251 nt
Filed under: uncultured bacterium
Lineage: Bacteria
Description: partial 16S ribosomal RNA
Rfam family: Bacterial small subunit ribosomal RNA
Source: RNAcentral
ACGUAGGGGGCAAGCGUUAUCCGGAUUUACUGGGUGUAAAGGGAGCGUAGACGGCUGUGCAAGUCUGAAGUGAAAAGCAUGGGCUCAACCUGUGGACUGCUUUGGAAACUGUGCAGCUAGAGUGUCGGAGAGGUAAGUGGAAUUCCUAGUGUAGCGGUGAAAUGCGUAGAUAUUAGGAGGAACACCAGUGGCGAAGGCGGCUUACUGGACGAUGACUGACGUUGAGGCUCGAAAGCGUGGGGAGCAAACAG